Molecule: ribosomal RNA, 435 nt
Filed under: Triticum aestivum (bread wheat)
Lineage: Eukaryota; Viridiplantae; Streptophyta; Magnoliopsida; Poales; Poaceae
Description: partial small subunit ribosomal RNA
Source: RNAcentral
AUGACAGGCUUGCUCGGGAAGUUGGUUGAGGGGUGGACGUCCCUUAAUGGCUCUGACAGCGAUGCGGUUGCGAGGCAGUUCACUACAUUUGUCCUAGAACGGACACAUCGGCCAACUGGUUGCCGUGGCCGGUAUGACUACAAUAGUUCCCAAGAGCUUGCUGACACACAAGAUGACCUAGAUGGAGAUGCUGGUCUCGACAAGGAUGAUGACGAUGACAUGGAGAACGUGCAACAGGACACCGAUGAUGAUGAACAUGUUGAAGUUUGUGCAGGUGGUAAGAAGGGAAAGGAUGCACCAGAUGUCCCCCCACCGGAGAAAGUCAAAGAACAUACGGCGGGAGAGGCGAUGGUGCGUUGCCAUAAAAGAGGGGGAGGGCUCCAGAGGAUGCUGGGCAGGGUUCUCCUGGCAAGAGGUCUAGGACCGAUCCCGUAG